CUCCCAUCUGAGUAAAGGAAGAUAUGUAUAUCCUCUUAUCUAAGUGUAGGCAGGUAAUUUAUGUUUGAGAUGCCCACUGGGAAAACAGUGGGCAUGAGAUCUAAGUGUCUUCCAAGAUUAUCAUUUGUAGUGUCCUCCAAUCAUAGUAUGGGCAGGUCAAUUAUGUUUGUAUUACAUUUAGACAUUUAUUUUGUUAUCUUAUAUUACACCAUCUUAUAGGCUUGGUUUUAGGUUUCCUCGCUGAAUAAACUUCUUUCUUUUCUACCGUCUAAGUAAAAUAAAAAUAUUACUGUACUUUUUUGGAAAUUAUUGAGAACACUAUCUGCUGUGCAUGCUCUUCAAUAGGUAUGCACAGGCUUUGUCCUCCACUCCACAAGUGUAAGGGGGGUGGUAUUAUGUUUGGCAAUGCCAUCACCAGCAAUUGCAUGCUCUUUGAUAGAUUUGCUGAGGCAAAGUCAUCCGAUCAAAGUAUAUCGAUGACAAAUGUAUAUUGCUCGAGGACAUUACUUGCGAAUGUUUCUUUAAAAGGGAUCCAACAGGGAACAUCCGGUUUGUAAAGGCAUUCUAAUCAAUAACACUAUUGCAACAGCAUCAUGUGAUGGGCCAUUUGAGGAAACAUCACAUGACUGAAAUGUUUAGAAACCAAUAUGGAAAAAUCAUACUCCGGAGGUUGGAACAACAACAAGGUUUCUCAUUAUGAUAUUGUAUAACAAAUAGCAAACAUGACACGUUUUGAGUACUAAUUAACCCUUUCCCACUAAAAACCAAAGUGGUAAUAGAAAUAUGCAACCGGCAAAAAAACUGUCUGUUUAGGUUUAAUGCUGUCUGGUGCCCAUCUGUCAAAUUGCGUAUCUAAGUGGUAGAUGGUUAAACAAUACAUACUUGUAUUUAUAGGUUUAAGUACCUUUAAUGUUUUUAUUGGUUUAAGUACCUUUUAACAAUGUCUUACCUAUAUUUAUGGGAUGCGGCCAGCAGCAUCAAUCGUUCCCCGAUAUGUGGACAGGCUUUCUUGGUACGAUUUUUAUCACUCUCGAUGAACUCCUUCAAUGCAAAUAGUAUCAGGAUAGGUUUCCAAUGCCCAUAGAAAGAGACGAUGCAAUGCGAAGUAACCAUUGAGACUGUUAUCGCUCGUAUGCUGCGUUCCUUUGCUGAAUUCCACCACCGUGGCGCUCAUAAGGUUUGGGAUGGUCUUGAUCACCAUUUCUUCAAUCGGGGUUUUGUUCGCCUUGCACUUCGGCAUGAUCGCUGCGAUGUCUUUGGUAAGCACGUCUUCAAACGUCGCCUGGAUUUUAUUUAAAACAUAUUUAUUAGAUCAUACACAUAAUAAAUAACAAUCACAUGCAUAUCAAACAAUGAUAUAACCGUUCAUAUAUUAGAAGACAACCAUCUACAAUGCAUUUAUGAGUGCUGUUCCAUGCUGGAGUUACUGAGAGGAAAAUUCUAUAUGAAUCAAACCUUGAUUUCUUCCCCAUGCUUCUGGUGGAUGUAUAACGGUAGAAAAAACUUCAGUUCCUCUUUAAGAACGCUGUGGACUGUACCCACAGCUUUUUUCAUGCUGUUAAAUGAAUCAAAUUUCAGGAACUCGCAGGGGGUAGUCAAAGCGGGUCGGUGAGUUGGACCAGAAACUAUCAAUCCGUAGCCAUACAAGUCUUCUAUGCCCUUAGGUUUCUCGACUUUAAGAGGCUCCUUUGACAUAUAGUCUACGAUCUGCGGACCUUAGUAUAAGAGGGAUGUAUUUAGUAUAUGAAUUACAUUUAGCCUAAGAAAGAUAAUAGUGUAUUAAGUAUGAGGAUUAUAAUGUAUUUAGUACAAAAAACUAAUAUUUUAUUUAGUAUUAUAAGGAUACUAUUGUUUUUAGUAUAAGAAGAUUAUUAUUGCAUUACAUAUAAAAAGGAUAACAUGGUAUUAAUUAUAUGAAGGAUAUUAUCACAUUGAACAUAAGAAAGAUAUAAUUAAGAAAUAAUAUUGUAUGUUUAGUACAAGGAUGGUAUUGUAUUUAGUAUAAGAAGGGCCAUAUUGUAUUUAGUUUAAUACGGCUAUUAUUGUAAUUAGUAUAAGAAGGAUAGUAUUGAAUUUAUAAUAAGUAUGAUACUAUGGAAUUUAGUAAUAAGUAUACAUAGGAUAAUAUUGUAUGAUAAGAAUGAUAACAUUUUUUAGUUUAUACAUAUUUAUUUCUGUUGGAAAUACACUGUUCAUCAAUCAUGCACAAUACAAUGAUUAAAAGAAAAGGUUUGAAACCAAAGAAUUAA
Dreissena polymorpha is the source of this 2249-nucleotide long non-coding RNA. RefSeq lists it as uncharacterized. The transcript has 2 exons. The record is from RefSeq and is a predicted model, not a curated record. Lineage: Eukaryota; Metazoa; Mollusca; Bivalvia; Myida; Dreissenidae.